AUUCCAGCUCCAAUAGCGUAUAUUAAUGUUGUUGCAGUUAAAAAGCUCGUAGUUGAAUUUCUGGUUAAAAUCUUAGCUGGCUUUGGUCGUUAAUGUUUUAAUCAUCCGUUAGAGAACUAUAACCGUCCUUAACUGGUCAUUAUAGAGAUCUAACAUUUUACUUUGAAAAAAUUAGAGUGUUCAAGGCAGGCAAUCGUCAUGAAUACUAUAGCACGGAAUAAUGGAAUAGGACUUUGGUUCAUUUUAUUGGUUAUUGAACCUUAGUAAUGAUUAACAGGGACAGUUGGGGGCAUUAGUAUUUAAUUGUCAGAGGUGAAAUUCUUGGAUUUAUUAAAGACUAACUUAUGCGAAAGCAUUUGCCAAGGAUGUUUUCAUUG
Molecule: ribosomal RNA, 377 nt
Filed under: Prostomatea sp.
Lineage: Eukaryota; Ciliophora; Prostomatea
Description: partial small subunit ribosomal RNA
Rfam family: Eukaryotic small subunit ribosomal RNA
Source: RNAcentral